This 69-nucleotide small RNA is filed under the name Caenorhabditis briggsae. Its description in RNAcentral is "snoRNA CBG29647". It matches the Rfam family "Nematode sRNA ceN72-3_ceN74-2". Lineage: Eukaryota; Metazoa; Nematoda; Chromadorea; Rhabditida; Rhabditidae. The record is from Rfam by way of RNAcentral.
CAUGUCGGUCCGGAGCCAGUGGGUUAUCAAUUUCUGAACCCCUCCCAUUGGCACCUAUUUGACCGUUAA